GUAGUACUGGUAAAAUUUAUGCCAGAAUUGAGUGGGUUCUAGUCCUGUAAUUGUCUUUAGCUCUUCCAAGUAGUUUGUAGUGGGAAAGGGCCUCUGAAGACUGGAUUGAGAUACCCUCCAAAGCUGUGAAAUGCUAAAACCUGGGGUUUCAGCUUCAACUAUAAUUGAUGUCAGUGGCAAAACUAUCCUGCAUUCAGAUUCUGUACACUGCUUAGAGCCUUGUUGAGACUGAUAAGAACACUCAGUGACUUUGCCUUCUGGAAAGGCUAUUAGGGUAUUCUGACAAGAAAUCCUUUUGUAUGACCCCCUAACAAAGUAAUUUGAGGGACAGGUCAGUCAUCUUUCUGCAUGUUACACAUUGCCACAGCUUCUGAUCACUAUCCACAGUAUCUACUUUCAGGUUCACCUGGGGAGUUGAUGUGACAAGCUGAUAGGGGAUGUCCUGUAUAAUGGCUGCUCCAGAUUGUUCUGUAGCCUUAACAGGGUGAAGUCUCACCAUUUUAGCCUUCGCAAAAUAAAUCUGUCUUGUUAAAGGAA
Long non-coding RNA from Neopsephotus bourkii (Bourke's parrot), 537 nucleotides. RefSeq lists it as uncharacterized. Lineage: Eukaryota; Metazoa; Chordata; Aves; Psittaciformes; Psittacidae. The transcript is spliced from 2 exons. The record is from RefSeq and is a predicted model, not a curated record.